This is a non-coding RNA of Phoenix dactylifera (date palm), 230 nucleotides long. The record is from RefSeq and is a predicted model, not a curated record. NCBI's taxonomy places the organism in Eukaryota, Viridiplantae, Streptophyta, Magnoliopsida, Arecales, Arecaceae.
ACCCCAGCGCGUAGGUUGUGAUUCGGACCGUGUUUGAGUCAGUCUACAAUUUCUAGGCACUGGAUUUGUAGAGACCAUUGGGUGGGACGAGAAAUAAGAUCAGCAUGGAGUCUGAUUGCUGGAUAGAUAGGAGUUAAUCUAUCUUUUAUUUAUGGACAUUUGAAAUUAUGUAAUAAAUCAGUACAUUUUAGUUGGAUUUGAUUGAAUUACAUUAAUCUUUGAUUUUGGCA